Molecule: long non-coding RNA, 813 nt
Organism: Nycticebus coucang (slow loris)
Lineage: Eukaryota; Metazoa; Chordata; Mammalia; Primates; Lorisidae
Exons: 4
Source: RefSeq, a predicted model, not a curated record
UUAGCUGAAGCCUUUCGUCUCAUUGAAGCAGCAUCUGCUAAGCUUGGAGGGAAAGAUCCUAACUCAGAGGGGGUGACAAAGGCUACCGAGAUCAGUUGGUACAAGGUCAUUUAUAAUAAGAAAAAGGUUGUGCAAACAAUCUUAGACUCCCUUUUCAAGAGACCAAUGUCAGUGGUGAGUGUCCCUUUUCCAGCAAUAGAAUCAAAUCCUGACCCUCCAGCACCCACUCCAUCCCCUCCUCAUCUGACUGGCAUCAGCCUCCCUUCUUACCUCAAAAAUGAGCUUUCCACUAAGACACUGAUGUACAUUAGAAGGCCCAGGUCUGGAAGCCCAGUUCUCUGGUUUUAGAGAUGAAAUUGCAUUCAGCAGAGAAAGGAGAAUGAUGGAGGCAAAAAGAGUGAGAAGAGACAAAGGAAACAGAUAAAGCAUCCCAAGAACAAAUUAAAGCUUAGUCGGAGCUGCCAGGCAGUACAGAACUAGGGACACACUUCCCUUUUCAAAUGUCACAGCCGCAGUCACAGAUGAUAUUUCACUGCUUGGAAUAGAACCCAACAUUUUACACUAGGACAAUGAGCCCUUUCUUCCCCAGACCAAGCCGGAAUCAAAUGCUGUAUUUGUUGGUGCUGAUUUUUCAUCAACAUAGAACAAUAGCUGCUCCUGCUCCCAGAAGAACAGAGUCUCAGAAUAAACCCAAAUAUCCACCUGAUUUUUAAAGGGAGCAGCAAGGGUGGAAAGACACUUACCUGGAGAUAAAAAGGAAGUAAACUGGUAGAAGAUUUCAGUGUCCUUCUUCUGACCGCUGUAGCCCACAAC